Orcinus orca (killer whale) is the source of this 3885-nucleotide RNA transcript. It is a transcript of the gene named signal transducer and activator of transcription 1, with no coding region annotated. The transcript is spliced from 26 exons. The record is from RefSeq and is a predicted model, not a curated record. Lineage: Eukaryota; Metazoa; Chordata; Mammalia; Artiodactyla; Delphinidae.
GCGCUGAGUUUGUGGAGAGACAUAGUCGCACCCGGGUCGACGCCGGUCAGACCCCAGAAAGAGCAGAGGAGACCCGGCGCGCCCGGGAGAGGCAGCACGGCCGCGCCCUCGCCUACCUCUGCCGGAUCCGGAGCGCAGAAAAGUUUUCAUUUGCCGUGUGCCACCCCCAGAGAGCCGUUAUACGCUCGCACCCUGUGCAUGCAAACCCAGCAGUCUUGGCGUCUGACGUGCUGUGUGUAGCUGCUGCUUGUGUUGAAUCCCCAGCCCUUCGCUGCGGCACAAGGUGACAGGAUGUCCCAGUGGUAUGAGCUUCAGCAGCUUGACUCCAAAUUCCUGGAGCAGGUUCACCAGCUCUAUGACGACAGUUUUCCCAUGGAAAUCAGACAGUAUCUGGCACAGUGGCUAGAAAAGCAAGACUGGGAGCAUGCCGCCAAUGAUGUUUCAUUUGCUACCAUCCGUUUUCACGACCUCCUGUCGCAGCUGGAUGAUCAAUACAGUCGCUUUUCUUUGGAGAAUAAUUUUUUGUUGCAGCAUAACAUAAGGAAAAGCAAGCGUAAUCUUCAGGAUAAUUUUCAGGAAGACCCAAUACAGAUGUCUAUGAUCAUCUGUAACUGUCUGAAGGAGGAAAGAAAGAUCUUGGAAAAUGCCCAGAGAUUCAAUCAGGCUCAGGCAGGGAAUAUUCAGACCACUGUAAUGUUAGACAAACAGCAGGAGCUUGACAGCAGAGUCAGAAAUGUGAAGGACAAAGUUAUGUGUAUAGAGCAUGAAAUCAAGACCCUAGAAGAUUUACAGGAUGAAUAUGACUUUAAAUGUAAAACCUUGCAGAACAGAGAACAUGAAACCAAUGGUGUGGCAAAGAAUGAUCAGAAACAGGAACAGAUGUUACUCCAGAAGAUGUAUUUAAUGCUUGACAAUAAGAGAAAGGAAGUAGUUCACAAAAUAAUAGAGUUGUUGAAUGCCACCGAACUUACCCAGAAAGCCCUGAUUAAUGAUGAACUUGUGGAAUGGAAGCGGAGACAGCAGAGUGCCUGUAUCGGGGGACCCCCCAAUGCUUGCCUUGAUCAGCUGCAGAACUGGUUCACCAUAGUGGCAGAGAGUCUGCAGCAGGUUCGUCAGCAGCUUAAAAAGCUUGAGGAGUUGGAACAGAAAUACACCUAUGAACAUGACCCUAUCACAAAAAACAAACAAGCGUUAUGGGACCGCACCUUCAGCCUCUUCCAGCAGCUCAUUCAGAGCUCAUUUGUGGUGGAAAGACAGCCCUGCAUGCCAACUCAUCCUCAGAGGCCAUUGGUCCUGAAGACUGGAGUACAAUUCACUGUGAAGUUGAGAUUGUUGGUGAAAUUGCAAGAGCUGAAUUAUAACUUGAAAGUCAAAGUCUUAUUUGAUAAAGAUGUGAAUGAGAGAAAUACAGUAAAAGGGUUUCGAAAGUUCAACAUUUUGGGCACUCACACGAAGGUGAUGAACAUGGAGGAGUCCACCAAUGGAAGUCUGGCGGCAGAAUUCCGACACCUGCAACUGAAAGAACAGAAAAACGCCGGUGCCAGAACCAACGAGGGUCCUCUCAUCGUUACUGAAGAGCUUCACUCCCUUAGUUUUGAAACCCAGUUGUGCCAGCCUGGUUUGGUCAUUGACCUUGAGACGGCCUCUCUGCCCAUCGUGGUGAUCUCCAAUGUCAGCCAGCUCCCGAGUGGUUGGGCCUCCAUCCUGUGGUACAACAUGCUGGUGGCAGAACCCAGGAAUCUGUCCUUCUUCCUGAACCCGCCUUGUGCACGAUGGUCUCAGCUUUCAGAGGUGCUGAGUUGGCAGUUUUCUUCUGUCACCAAAAGAGGUCUCAAUGUGGACCAGCUGAACAUGCUGGGAGAGAAACUUCUUGGUCCCAGUGCUGGCCCUGAUGGGCUUAUUCCAUGGACUCGCUUCUGUAAGGAAAAUAUAAAUGAUAAAAAUUUUCCUUUCUGGCUUUGGAUUGAAAGCAUCCUUGAACUCAUUAAAAAACACCUGCUCUGUCUCUGGAAUGAUGGGUGUAUCGUGGGCUUUAUCAGCAAGGAGCGAGAGCGGGCUCUGCUGAAGGACCAGCAGCCGGGGACAUUCCUGCUGCGGUUCAGUGAGAGCUGCCGGGAAGGGGCCAUCACGUUCACAUGGGUGGAGCGGCCCCAGAAUGGAGGUGAAUCUUGCUUCCAUGCGGUUGAACCCUACACAAAGAAAGAACUUUCUGCUGUUACUUUCCCUGACAUUAUUCGCAAUUACAAAGUCAUGGCCGCUGAAAAUAUUCCAGAGAAUCCCUUGAAGUUUCUGUAUCCAAAUAUUGAUAAAGACCAUGCCUUUGGAAAGUACUACUCCAGGCCAAAGGAAGCCCCAGAGCCUAUGGAACUUGAUGGCCCUAAAGGAACAGGAUAUAUCAAGACUGAACUGAUUUCUGUGUCUGAAGUUCACCCUUCUCAACUUCAGACCACAGACAACCUUCUUCCCAUGUCUCCUGAGGAGUUUGACGAGGUGUCUCGGAUAGUGGGCGCCGUAGAAUUUGACAUGAUGUAGACAAAAGAGGCUCUCCAAAACUAUGAAACUUGACUAAGAUGAAGUAGUUAGUAAAUGAGGGAACGAAUAUUUGAAUCCACCUGGGGUGUCGCUGGACUGCGUGUUCUUGUCUACUCUCCUGGAAUGCCCCCCCACAGAAAGCUGACCUCUGAUUCAUUCAAAACCUGCACCCAAGAGAAGCUGUUUGCACUUGACACUGAAUGAAUGCAGUAUAAGAGCAUGAAUUUUUCUCAUCUUCUCUGGUGACAUUUUUCCUUCCCACCUGUGACUCCCUCCUGCUACUCUGUUCCUUCACAUCCUGUGUUUCUAGGGAAACAAAAGAAAGGCCAACAAAUUCGCUGCAACCUGUUGGUAGCAAGUGGAUUUUUCCCUAAUUCAGAAACAUCUGUUACUCUGAAGGGCUUCAUGCAUCUUAUUGAAGGUAAAAUUGAAAGGCCUUCUCCACAGAGUGGGUUUUACAAAUAAAAAACAUCCAGAUAUACCAAAAGCAUCAGAACUAGAAUGAGAGUCCUUUGGGAAAGGUCAAAUAUUUAGCAGCAUCUAGCAAAUGCCAUGCCUAGAGUCAGUGCUCAAUUGUUAUAGGUGGUUGGGUAGAUCACACGGUUAUUUAGGCAACUGCUUCAUGCAGGAUUGGCAUAUUUCUCUUCUGGAGAAUUCUUAUUUGUUCUCUCUGCUUUAAAUGUGGCUAGAAGUUUUCCAGUGGUUUGCCUAUGAAAUAGUGCAAAGUUAAGUUUACACAGAAUUACAUCACCUCUUUAUUGAAGGUAGCCAUCCCGUAUCUGGGCAGAGGAUAAAAGUUGUGUUAUUAUAUCUUCCACACUAGCCAUUGAAAGCUAGAGACAAAUUCUCUCUCGGGAGAAUUAGUUUUUCUCUUUGUUAUGGCUUUAUGAUACUGGCUAAUAUCAAAGGGAAGGAAGUAAACUUUCCCAAUUCGUGAGUAGUGUUUUCCUUUUAAACUUUAAUAUCCAAAGCUGAAUAUAUUCUGCCUCCAUCACGGUCACUAGUAAAUGAAAUUGUCUUCACAGUUCUGUCAAGGGAGCCAAACUAUUAACAGCUCUCUUAAGGUAAAUCCUGUUAUUUUUCAAAAAGUUGAAAUUAAUUGUAGAUGUAGACAAACUCCGAAAUUUAUUGCAUGUUUCUUAAAUGGGUUCACUUGUCUUUAUUGUUUUUAGCUGGUAUUUAGUCUUAGUCAUAAAAUUUUCAAAUUGAGAAGAGAAAAUAGUAACGGACAAAUCAUUAACCAGAGAUUAUGAGAAUCAGAUAAUUUGAAAACUCAUCCUGUGUAACUGCAUUGAGAAUUGCGUAUCUUUCACUGAUGAAUGUGUUUCUCUCACAAAUACAUUGCAAAUGGUU